GAAAUGGAAAACAAGAUGCUAGUCUCUGGUUGCAGGCCGCAAUCCUCCCAAAUGCUGAUACCUAUUUUGGGCCAUAUCGUAUUAAGAAAGUCCAUGUCUGCUCUGCUACCCUUAAAGCCACCUCCUACUUGCUACUGAAGUUGAGCUUGCUAAAAAGUUGGGCUAGCUUUAUUUAAAAACCAUAAGCUCCCCUAAAUUACAAGUAGCAAUGUUUAUUCAGAAUGCUUAAGCUGUGGUUUUAGGGUCUCUAAGGGACCUAGUAGAUCUGCUGUUACUAAAGUAUGACAAGAGAAAUCUGAGUGCUCAAUUGUGAGCAGAAGUUGGGCUUCUAGAGACCAGGAAAUAUGCAAGGUCUAGAAACUUUAUACUCUGGGAGCAUCUGAGUGGGUGAAGUGAGGGAUUUGGAAUUGACACCUGGCUGCCUCUGUGUCUGCAUAGUUCAAAGUUAGAAAAAAAAAGAAUCCACAAUAAAUACAUUGGGAGGACAACUGUUGGAUCUGGACCGGGCCCGUCCCCUUUUCCUAUGUAAUGCUAACAGGCUGUCCAUCUGGAUGAGGGCCCAGAAAAUGUGAGCUGGCAAAGGGUGUAGAGCAUAGUGUUUAGGUGCCAAGAAAGACUGAACUUUUAGUAUGUGACUGUAAUGAAAAGCUUAUGAAUAUGUCAGAGGAAUGAAUGAGUGGUUUUAUGAGGCCUUAACCCAAUAGCAUAGUUUCUUCCUUGUUUUUUAUCCUUUUCAGAAUGCUGGGACAGUGUAUGCAGGGCUCUCCACUGAUCUCCCUCAGUGUUCUUUCUCUGGUCCUGAUGCCAGAUAUCCUUUCUUGGAGACUGAGUCUGCUAUCUCAGUUGAUUGUUACACCAUACCCUCCCUUGGUGUUUUCUACUUCUGUGCCUUCAGGUGGUGUCACCAGCUUUUGUUUUCUUCACUGUCCACCCUUCACUGUUGGCCACAGUCUGGAUCUGCACGUUCUGUUCAAAAGCAGACUCUGGAACUGCCUGAAUGUGGUCUGGGACAGGAACCACAUCAUAUUGAUAAGUGAGACAAAAAAGAACAUUUCUUCCUUCCCAACCUUGAGGUGAAAUGGUGCAUGAAGACUUCUCAUGGCAUCUCACUGGGAAAAGAAAACAAAACCCCAAAGCCAGUUGUAGGUAUAAAUGAGAGGGCAAAUGUUGGAUCUGGGCUGGUCCCUUGUCACAUAGUUAGGUCCCUGGCUAUAUGUCCCCAGAGCACCCUACACUUAUCUUUCAGAAUAAUCUAUUCCCUUGUAAUUGCUCAGUACCUGUGUCCUGCAUGACUGUAAACUUGCUGGAGGUAAGGACUGUGUGUCUUGGACUGUACUGCCAGCCCUAGCACAGUACCUGGUACAUAGUACAUUCUCAAAUAUUUGUUAGAAUGAAUGAACUAAAUAAGUCUUUCCUUUUACAGAUUGUUAACUACUAUGGGAAAAUAAACGCAGGGAGGGAAAAAAUUCUAAAAUUAGUUUCUACUCUGCUUCUGACUCCCUCUGAGCUAAGAACAUUAAAAUGGGAGCCCUACAAGCCGGUCGUCCUUCCAAGCUGGCCACACCUCCACUCCACAGUGGUCUCUCUUCACAGUCUGAAGACCCAAGGUACAGCCAGGAGUUAAACUUCCAGAGUAGGUGGUACAGCCAGGAGUGAAACUUCCAGGGUAGGUGCCCGCAGUUCCCUUUAGCCUCUGCUCUGCUCCUGUAUCAACAAGUUUGGGCCAUUUCUUUAGAUAUGAAUUUUCCCAAGAAAUUCUUCCCCUUCGUGGUAUGUGUCAUAUCGCUGGUAAAACUUUCAGUGAAAUAACUUUUUAUUCUUAAUGAGCUGAUUGAAAAGCUUCUCCAUCUCUGACUCUCAUUUUUCAUGUGAAGUCAGCAAACUGAAUUCCUACAGCCUGGGCUCCAAGAAGGUGGGUUUUUUGGUCUGUUUCGUAUGCUGCCAAUACCUCCAGCGCCUAGAAGCAUACAUAGCACACAGCUGUUCGGAGUGAAAACACUCAUGCCCUUCACGCCCUAUUUAGCGAUGACGAACCUUGGCCAGGACAUUUGUCCACCCACUUCUCGGAAUUCAGCCUUUCGGAUUCAGGGCUUAGGCAGGUCAAAGUGAAAACCAGCCGUGCAGCACCACCUACAAGUGAAGAUCUGUGAAGCACGUCGCUAAUCUUGAGAGGUUUCGUUUGGAGAGGAAAGUGAACUUCUCCAGAAACAAAUCAAACGGUGUUCCGGCGCCGCGUGCUCUGCUUCUGCCCUCCGGGUCAGGUGGGACUCUGGACUUAAUAAUACACAAGGUGGGGAAGCGGCGGAGCGCUGGGACACGCAACGGACGACCAGCUUCACCCGCCCGCUUUCUUCCACUCCUCCCCCUUCCGUUCCUACGCUGACGGGUGGGGCCAACGCCUCUCUGGCCGGAAAGGGCUGGGCCUCAGGCGCCCACACUUCCGGCCGGCUGGUUCUAACGCGAGGCGCGGGAGCCGACUGGGUGACGUCACGGAAGGGGGCGGAACUGGGGUUGUGUUGGGCAUGCGCAGUAGGCUGACUUCGCCGACUCUGCCCGCUAGGCAGUGAAGGACUUACCCAUGCUGAGAGGAUUUUCCACUGUUGUUGCUGCUGAGGGUUCGGGCCUCACGGUCUUCCUGCCAAGGGGCAGGAAACUGGAAGGAGUUCCUGAGCCCGCGAGCCUGCAGCGGAAGUAGAAGAACGCCCUUCUUCAAGUGUCUGGAGGUCAGAGAAGCAGCCCAGGGGAGGGAACUGUGACUAGUUAAAGAGGCCCUGCUUACUGUUGCUACCAGAUCGCAUGUCAACACCAAGUCCUCAGCUCCUGGUGGCAGCUGCUCAGCAGACCCUGGGCCUGGGAAAGAGACGGGGCCCUCCCAGAGCCGUCUGCCUUCAUCUCGCUGGAGAGGUGCUGGCUGUGGCCAGGGGACUGAAGCCAGCUCUGCUGUAUGAUUGCGGCUCUGCAGGGGCAGCCGAGCUCCAGAGCUACCUGGAGGAGCUGCGGGGCCUGGGCUUCCCGACCCAGGGACUGCACGUCCUCGAGAUUGCAGAGAACAGCCUGAUUGUCCAUCCCGAGCAUGUGCGUCGGCACUUGGAGCAGGUGCUGCUUGGGAGCAUAGCGUUUGUGGAUGUUUCUGGCUCUCAACCUUACCCUUCCGUCUGCUCCCUGGACCAGCUGCAGGAUUUGAAGGCCUUUGUGGCGGAGAUCAUCACAUAUUUGCAGGGGCUGCAGAGGGACCGAUCCCUGUCAAUCUCCUGCGGCAGGCUGUGUUCCUCAGCCUGGAAUCUCUGUACUGUGUUUGGGAUCCUCCUGGGCUAUCCUGUCCCCUAUACUUUUGAUGUGAACCAAGGAGAGGACAACUGUUUAGCCCAGACUCCACUACGAGUGUUCACUGCCCGGAUCUCAUGGCUAUGCUGUCAGCCACCAGUCUUGCUGUAUUCCUUUAGUGUGCCAGAGAGCCUGUUCCUGUCCUUGAGGGACAUUCUAAAUACUUGGGAGAAGGACCUUAGAACUCGAUGUAGGGCUCAAAAUGACUUUGCUGACCUCAGCAUCUCCUCUGAGAUAGUCACACUGCCGGCCGUGGCUCUCUGACUUUAACUUUUCCUGUGUGGAAGGUGCUUGGUAAAUGAUCAGCUCUAGGUCAGGGAUGGCAAAUAGGAAUCAUUUCAAGUGCCAAUUGCGAGUAUCUCGAGGACACUAGGGAAGAAUACUGUAAUCCAUUUGUCAUUUCUGUGCUGAACUGGACUAGGGAGAAUAGACCAGGAUGCUUCAGGAAUAAACAGAGUUCUUCGGGACAGAUCAUCAGGAAGGGGAAAUUUGGACACAGAUGUGGACAGAUGGAAGACACGUGAAGAGAUGGAGAAGACAGCCAUCUCCAUCUUCUCGGACGGAGAAGAAGGCCAUUUCCCUCUCCAAGCCAAGGAAAGCAGUCUAGAAUGGAUUCUUCCCCCAGAGCCCUCAGAAGGAACCAACCCUGCCUGCCACCUUAAUCUGAGGCUCCCAGCCUCUAGAGCUAUGAGAAAACCGAUGUCUGUUCUUUAAGUCACCCAGCUUGUGGUGCUUUGUUACGAAAACACCAUCCUUCUAUCUCUUCCUACCGUGUACCUUUAAGUCUGCGUAAAUGUCACCCUAGAAGAAGGACAUUCCCAGUUGACCCUGUGUGAAAUAGCAACUGUUUUCUCUUUAACCUGCUGUAUUUUUUCCUCUGUCACAGUUGUUAAUACUUGAGGCGUAUAUGUUCAUAGAAACUCCAUACUUCAGUAUAGUGUCUGUUUAGAAUGUCAGCUUCACUAGGAAGGAAACCAGGCCAGUUCUGUUCACUGCCGUAUCCUCAGUGUGUAUCUUGGUGCCUGCACUUGGUAGGGGCUCAGUAAAUAAGUACCGAAUAAAUAAAGGCAUGGUUUUGAAGUGA
This is an RNA transcript of Dama dama (fallow deer), 4408 nucleotides long. It is a transcript of the gene named chromosome 14 C1orf74 homolog, with no coding region annotated. The record is from RefSeq and is a predicted model, not a curated record. The transcript is spliced from 3 exons. NCBI's taxonomy places the organism in Eukaryota, Metazoa, Chordata, Mammalia, Artiodactyla, Cervidae.